Non-coding RNA from Nicotiana tabacum (common tobacco), 1189 nucleotides. The record is from RefSeq and is a predicted model, not a curated record. NCBI's taxonomy places the organism in Eukaryota, Viridiplantae, Streptophyta, Magnoliopsida, Solanales, Solanaceae.
UUGAUCCAUAAUUCUUGGGCAAAUCUUAUGGUAUUUCGUCACAAUUUUAACGAUUGCCAUAAUUUAGGUGAUCAUCAAGAUGUUCGGUGCUUUAAAUUUCUGACCAAGGCAGGAUCCUGGCCGGGCCGACCCAGUUGGCAAAUUUAGCAGCACGCUACUCCAUUCGCGGAACGACGUCGUUGCAGGGAGCAGAGAAGCUUUGCUCAAAGUCGUAAAAGUGGAAGGCAUUUCCGAGGAGGAUGAUAAUGAUGGUGAUGCAGAAGCUAACGAGAAAAUGGAGAAAUUCUCGACGAGAAUCUCAGUACGACGAGGACGAUAAAUUCUCUUUACCAACUCGCGACGAUGGUCGUCCCAUUGAUACCCAAGAACAAGAAGAGUUAGUUCGAUCUCUCGAGAAAGUUCAAACUCAGCAAUCUCUUCUCUGGAGGGGUGUGUUCUCGGGCCUACUUUUGUGUUAUGUGGCUUUUCUAAUAUACUCAAUCUAUCAACAGGCAUAUUAUCCCUGGGAAUUGUAUUUUAAUAUGGUUAACAGCGAUAUCAUGCUUACUUCAUGUAUGAAGUUGACUCAUGGACCAUCAUUGCUGCAGAUUGGGCAGCUAUUUUGACGUGCUUAAUGACCAUAAAGGGCUUACUGCAUGAAUCGAAAUAUCAUAGGAGGUGGCUAUGGUCUUCAUGCUGCAUUGGCAUGAUUGUAGCAGUGUUUUGGCUGAAUCACAUGCUAAGGUUGGCAAAAUUUAGAUGGGAUAUUUUGUGGCUACCUGUAGGGCCCCUUAGUGGAGCUGGAAUCUGCAUUUACAUAGACCAUUUACUAAAUGUGUCAUCUGAAGAAGUACGGAAACUUAGAGGAUAUAUGUAUGCAUAUAAAGCCAGGUAAAGAGUUUAGAGGAUGUAUUUAUGGGCCCUUAAAUCCAGUUAAGAAUGUCACCCUAAUCGAUUUGUAGCACUCAACUAGUUCCAUUAUAGAUUUUCCCUCUUUUUGUCUGGUGUACGAUGACUAUGAGAUGUACUGUAAAGUUUCGGAGAGUGAGUCUGAUAGGAAAGGGCUGAAAUUAAUGGCGGAAACUCUUUUAUUCCAUCAUUCCAUUUCCCUCGAUGGGAAUUCUCUGUUCUCGAUAUAUGGCACUGUAAAUACUUUGUUCCUGGUACUAAUAUACUUUCGUUCUGGUGGGAAUUUUUGUUCCCCUGCGAA